Molecule: ribosomal RNA, 497 nt
Filed under: uncultured bacterium
Lineage: Bacteria
Description: partial 16S ribosomal RNA
Rfam family: Bacterial small subunit ribosomal RNA
Source: RNAcentral
GACGAACGCUGGCGGCGUGCCUAAUACAUGCAAGUAGAACGCUGAAGAGAGGAGCUUGCUCUUCUUGGAUGAGUUGCGAACGGGUGAGUAACGCGUAGGUAACCUGCCUGGUAGCGGGGGAUAACUAUUGGAAACGAUAGCUAAUACCGCAUAAAAUUGAUUAUUGCAUGAUAAUUAAUUGAAAGAUGCAACUGCAUCACUACCAGAUGGACCUGCGUUGUAUUAGCUAGUUGGUGAGGUAACGGCUCACCAAGGCGACGAUACAUAGCCGACCUGAGAGGGGGGACGGCCACACUGGGAAUGGGACACGGGCCAGAAUCCUACGGGAGGCAGCAGGAGGGGAUCUUCGGCAAUGGGGGGAACCCUGACCGGGCAACGCCGCGGGGGUGAAGAAGGUUUUCGGAUCGUAAAGCUCUGUUGUAAGAGAAGAACGGGUGUGGGAGUGGAAAGUUCACACUGUGACGGUAUCUUACCAGAAAGGGACGGCUAACUACGUG